Long non-coding RNA from Oncorhynchus keta (chum salmon), 813 nucleotides. RefSeq lists it as uncharacterized. The record is from RefSeq and is a predicted model, not a curated record. Lineage: Eukaryota; Metazoa; Chordata; Actinopteri; Salmoniformes; Salmonidae. The transcript has 2 exons.
GGGCGCAGUGCGCGCUAAACAGGUUGCCAGGUGCACAGUGUUUCCUCCGUCACAUUGGUGCAGCUGGCUUCCGGGUUGGGUUGUGUUUUGGAGGACACAUGGCUUUCGACCUUCAUCUCUCCCGAGCCCGUAUGGGAGUUGUAGCGAUGAGACAAGAUAGUAACUACUAAGAAUUGGGGAGAAAAGGGGGUAAAAAGAAAGAAGACUGAGUGGACUAACCACUGUGUGUUCUCUUGUUUUGCACUGUUCUGUAGUUUCGACACAAUGAUUUGUCUGACAACCAAAGAACUACAAAAGAACUACCAAAGAACUUUGCGUAGUGCAGGCCCAGGCAUGGAUCAAAGCUGGUGAGACAUUCAAUGACAUCAUCAAGAUAUAUGCUGGACCAUAUGUCAGAGAAGUGUUUUUGGGACCACAUCGUUUCUUUCAAGGUAGAUUUAUGUUAUGUUAUGUUUAGGCCUAUUUACAUGUAUAUUUCUAUUAUUUUACCUAAUGUUGACUAUUAGGCUAAUGUCGUUUUUUUCUCUCCAAAUGACAAUGACCCAAAACACACUGCCGCCCCGGGUUUGCAUUGCAAAUGAGCGCAUAAACUGGGUCAAGACACCAGCAGACUGAAAACAUUCAUCUGUAACUCUGCCAAACCUACAAGCAAAGAUGAACUAGUGAAGGCCAUCAAGACUUUUUGGCUUGAGAAACGGAUGAUACAACAAUGCAACAAAUACAUUGAUCAUUUCAGAAAGGUUUUACAUGUGGAGCAAAUGAAAUGUAGCUGAAAUGUAAAGUAGUUGAAAUAAACAUCUGCAUUUUGAAAUA